Molecule: microRNA precursor, 52 nt
Filed under: Otolemur garnettii (small-eared galago)
Lineage: Eukaryota; Metazoa; Chordata; Mammalia; Primates; Galagidae
Description: mir-1302 microRNA precursor family
Rfam family: mir-1302 microRNA precursor family
Source: Rfam by way of RNAcentral
UUUUUAGUAUAAGUAUGUCCCAAGCAGUAUUUGGUAUAUAUUUAAACUAAAA